AUUUUAUGUUUAUAUAUGAUACGUUCAUUACACAAUGUUUUGUAAUGACCCGAAGGCCGACAGUUCACAGAGGUAUGUGGAUUUGAUAGGGCCACAAAGGGCCAAUCAUUAAUGAUCCUUCCGCAGGUUCACCUACGGAAA
This 141-nucleotide unclassified non-coding RNA is filed under the name uncultured fungus. RNAcentral's name for it is "sequence contains ITS1". The record is from RNAcentral. Lineage: Eukaryota; Fungi.